UACACAAAACCCAAGAAGAAUUUUAACAGCUUGUUGCUUGGGAAUGAAACAACUUACACCUUUGGUGAUUGGUCACACUUUCACAAGUAAGGUUCAAAGUUUUUGUGACACUGGACACAAGUUAUACAACCUUGGAAUGAAAAAAAAUCAACCCCUGGUUGACAGCUGUAUUGGAGAUAAUGAGCUGUUAGAAGGAAGAUAAUGAUUACAUAAAGAAUUUUGCUUGCCAUGAACUUUGGAAAUCCCAGUGGACUGUUAAUUCUUUUCCAGCCAAAAGUCGAAAAUAGCCUUUUAAUAACAAAAUAAAUUCUUCUGCAUCUCUGUCUUCCAUGCUGAAAUUUAGAGUCUAAAUGAAG
This is a long non-coding RNA of Stegodyphus dumicola, 356 nucleotides long. NCBI's taxonomy places the organism in Eukaryota, Metazoa, Arthropoda, Arachnida, Araneae, Eresidae. The record is from RefSeq and is a predicted model, not a curated record.